RNAcentral lists this transfer RNA (67 nucleotides) under Sargus mactans. RNAcentral describes it as "tRNA-Ser". Lineage: Eukaryota; Metazoa; Arthropoda; Insecta; Diptera; Stratiomyidae. The record is from RNAcentral.
AGUUAAUGAGCUUGAAUAAGCAUGUGUUUUGAAAACAUAAGAUAGAAAAUCAAUUUUCUAUUAACUU